Molecule: ribosomal RNA, 2292 nt
Filed under: Triticum aestivum (bread wheat)
Lineage: Eukaryota; Viridiplantae; Streptophyta; Magnoliopsida; Poales; Poaceae
Description: partial small subunit ribosomal RNA
Source: RNAcentral
AUGGCGGCGCACGAGCAGGAGAACCAGCAGGGUGAUGAUGCCUCGGCACAGAGGUCGCCGUUGCCACACAAAGUCGUCACGGAAAUCCUUGCCUACCUGCCGGCCAAGUCCGCGGGGCGCUUCCGCUGCGUCUCACGUUCGUGGCAGGCCACGCUCUCGUCGGCGCGCUUCCUCGAGCUCCACCUCCGGCGGGCAAACUACCAGGCAGCCGCCGGCCGGCCGAAGCUCUUCUUCAGUCCCACGGACGAGCCCUCGGACGACUACUUCUUUUACGCCUGGCAGCCCGGCGGCGCGGCGACGAAGCUGAUGCGUAACGGCUUGCUGCUCCCCGCUCCCCUCACCAAGCCCCUCCAUGGCCUCGUCCUCCUCCGCUGCGUCCGGAGUGGCGGCUACUACGUCUGCAACCCAUCCACCGGCGCGGUGCUUCCUCUCCCCGACAGCCGAGUGCCGUCCAAGAAGACUUCCCGGUAUCCACUCCCGUACUACAUGGAUGUCGUUUACGGCCUUGGUUACUGCUCGGCCACCCACCGGUACAAGGCAGUCCGUAUCUUCAGCAAAGAAGAGGUUAAUUCCGUCGAUGCACCGUGCUGCGACGUCUUCGUUCUCGGCGGUGACACGCCGGCGUACUGGCGGCCUGCCACGUCCAAGCCUCCGAUGUGCGUUGUGACGGAGGCGAACCCGGCCGUGUUCUUGAAUGGCCACCUGCACUUCCUCUGCCGCUACGAUGGUGGCAUCCUCACUUUCAACGUCAGGGACGAGACCUUUGGUUCCUUGCCACUGCCGCCAUGCCCUCUGGGGAAAGAUCCUCUCAGUCUCAGGACGACGGAGCUCGACGGGUGCCUAUGCGUCUUCAGCGGCGGCGACCCGUGCCAUGUAUGGCUGCUGCGUGAUUACGAGGCACAAGGGUGGGAGCAGCUCUGUUGCAUCGACCGGGCGGCUUGGCCGGAGCCACAGCGGUCGCAGCUGCAGUCGAGGUGGAUAGCUCCUCUUUGUCUGUCUAAUGGUGCCAAUGGAUCAUCGUCGGAGAAGAAAAUCAUGUUCGGCACGGGCACUUGCAAGGUGUUCGCGGUAGACCUUAAUGGUGGAGGCGUACCAGAGAUUCUUUUCCAGCCAGAUGAGGCCAUCGCCGGCAGUUUCCAUGACACGUAUGGUUACCCGGCGCUUGGCCUGUUCGAGGAGAGUCUUGUGCCCGUGGGCCGCGACAUUGAGGAGAUGGUCUCCUCUUCACCGGUGAUGGAAGCUUGGUUCCACGUCCUCAAGUGGUUGCCGGCACGGUCCGUCUCGAGACUCAGCCUCGUGAGCAGGGCAUGGCGCGCCAUGAUCACCACCAACUCUUUCAUCCGGUCGCACGCCGCCGUCCACGCAACACGCCCGCGGAUCAAGUUUGUCCUCGACCCCUUGGUGGGUUCAUUCAGUGACCUGGAUGAGCACAUGAACGGCACCUUCUUAUAUGGCCUACCAUUGGAUAAUCCCGUCCAAUGUUCUCAGCCAUGCCAUGGCCUAAACUUGGGGAGGUGGAGCUUUGGUGACUACCUAUACAACCCUACCUUGGGCGUUAGUGAGAGAAUACAACAAGUCAAGAGAGACGCAGUCUUGUUGGGCAGCUCAAUCGCGUUGGGGUACGACUCCGAGGUGGAGGACCAUGUCAUAGUAUCUCUUGCAUACGAGGAGAAGAACAUGGCAACACGAGAGUACAAACUGAGGUGUGACACGCGUUGGCUACGGACAGACGAUGACUGGUGUCCGCAUGAUCCUCCGCCAAGGCCGGUGGCCCUUGACGUGCCGCCAGCCUACGUGAAUGGCAAGAUUUAUUGGGUGGUUGAACCUAUGCUUGGGCCGGAAUCUGCGGUGUGCGAGCUCUUGGCAUUCGACGUCAUAAACGAAGAGUUCAAGGUCAUGCAUGGUCCUUCAUGGAGCAGCCAUGGCGGCGGCCGUACGUCCAUCCUCGAGCUCUACGGUGCUAUCUCCAUGGCAUGGUUCGACGAGGAAAAGAAUGUCAUUGACGUAUGGAGGACCAAGGACAUAAUGGACGGGGCUUGGUGCGUGGGGUGUCGUAUCGAACUCGAUAAGUUCUCACCGCAAUACUCAUCGAGGGAAGUCAUGUUGAUGUGUGCUGACACAAUUGAUGGACGGAUUUUGCUCAACACGGGGAGGUCAUUGGGCUACUAUGAUCCCAAGACGGCGGCGCUUGAAACCAUCUACACUGUUGGUAAGCCACAAGGUUACAGGGGGUUCUCUGCCACAACUGUCCAAGACAGUCUAGUUCGCCCUUUUAUGAAGUGGUGGUGGUGA